GGCUGUCGUCAGCUCGUGUCGUGAGAUGUUGGGUUAAGUCCCGCAACGAGCGCCACCCCUGCCUCUAGUUGCCAUCAAGUUUA
RNAcentral lists this ribosomal RNA (83 nucleotides) under Candidatus Liberibacter psyllidaureus. Its description in RNAcentral is "Candidatus Liberibacter psyllaurous partial 16S ribosomal RNA". It matches the Rfam family "Bacterial small subunit ribosomal RNA", at positions 1047 to 1129 of the family's 1533-position model. Lineage: Bacteria; Pseudomonadati; Pseudomonadota; Alphaproteobacteria; Hyphomicrobiales; Rhizobiaceae. The record is from RNAcentral.